CAACUGAUUAGAGUAGCGAAGCACUGUGUGCUGCAGGGAAAGAGAAAUGAGAGAGAAAGGAGGUGAAAAUGCAAUCAACUGUCUUCUCUUUCCACCUCCCGGCGGGCAGUAUUAGGAAGGAAUGAGCCGUGUGCGUGCCCAACCUGUCCGCAUCGCAGCUGCAGGUCGUAAAAGUCAGGAAGCAUAAAUCGAGCCAAGAGAAAGGCGCUGCAGAAAUAUUUCAAUGAACUAUACGCAGCGUCGAAAUCCGACUAGCAAACAGUGAACGAGAACAAGUGGGCAGCCAUUGUUCAACAUGUUUCCAUUAAUCUGUCGUCAUCAAAUACCUUUUUUUUUUUGUUGUUGUUGCUGCGGACUCUAUAGGAGUGAUACGUGAAUCGCCUUAUCAAUCAAGGACGGCCAACGAAAUUGUUUCGCUUUCUAACGAUUAUCACUCGCGUCACACAACAAAAUAUAUCCUGAACAUUGGAACACCUAAUGCAUACAACGCCAGUUUCAAAAUUCCACCAAGACACGGCGUCAACGGUUUACUACAGUGCUACCAAAUAAUAUCAUAGAGGAUUUUAAAAAAUGAAUAACUCCUGCCAGUUUUAUUUGGUGACUUAUGUAAAGAAAUCACAAGCAAACCGGCUAUUUUUUAGGCCAAAAUUAAGACAAAGAUGUUGCCAAAUGAGGUCUCGAGUAAUAGCCCCAUCACAGCAGUGGAAGCCCCGCUCUGUCAUUGUUUCAAAAAUAUCGAGGCAGCAACGGACCGCGAAAUGACGUAAUUUACAUCUCGGUGUGUGUCUUGUUGGAAAUGGCAUUGAGGGCGCGGGAAGUGUUGCAGGAACAAGAAAAUCGACAGUCUCAACCGGCAGACGGGAAGCAAGAAACGUGUAUACAUCCCUUUGCAUCCAAAGUGCCUGAUGUGCGGUUUGACCCUUGACGACGGUGCAAGACGGGAGAAAUCGGGUGAGGAAAAAUAGACGGCGGGAUUCAUUUUUUGCUUUUGUUCUACCCCCUCAGGUGUUGCGGAAUCGGGCUAGAUUGUUACACGCUCGAAACAUGAGACAUCUUUUAAAAAAAUUGCGCCUGUAGCUGACUGCGUAACACCAUCAUUCGCCAGCUUUCUACACGGAACCUUUCCCACAGAUGUACUAAACAAUCAAACAAUGUUUUCCUUCUCGUCCUACGUAAACAUUGAACACUGCGAAACAAAGUUUUAUUUCUUUGACUAUUGACACAAAAACGCAUUUUCAAGUUAUUGAAAACUGCAACCGAAACGAACUCGAUAAAAAAAAAACAAAAAAACAGUGGCAUUACAUUCGGUGUAAUGAUCUUUGGUAUCAUUACACUUUCGGAAUUAGAGUAGGCUAACAUAUACAAAAUUUGGACACCAUUGGCUACUCAUAAUAUCUUAGACAAUAAAGUCUUAUCUCCUAUGUAGGAGAAAUCCGCUAGUAAACGAGAUAGCCAAUGAUGUCUAACUUUAAUUUGAUGAUAAAAACGAAGUUUCAAAAGUCAACGUUGACUACUAUUUUGAUCUAAAUUCUUUGAAGAAAAUCCUUGAAUAUUUUGAAGCUUUGAUGAAAAUGCAGCUUUACAAUGAAUUUAAAAAUCAGAGAGUCGGUUUAAAUCUUACCGCCGCAAUUCCCGCCGCAACGAAAUCGCAAAACAACACUUCACCAUCGGCCAUCUGUUGACCGAGCUCGGAGUUAUUGUCCAAAGAAGAAAGCCAGUUAUGGAAACUUUCAUCCGACGUGAUCGUUGUCAAAGAAGCAAAGUUGUCUUCGCUACUCUGAAGUGGUGGCAGAGAGAUUUCUAGUUCUUGUUCGUUCGUGUCUACGCUUUCCAGCUGAAGUGAGUCUAACAAACUGUGAAAACUGAGAAGCCACUCGAGAUAGUCGUCCAUCUCAAUAGGCCACACAUCGUAGUCUUCCUCACUGUCCAUAGUCUCCGACACUUCAUGGACUUCCAGUUCCAGACUGUACACCUCGAGCAAGGAUUGCUCCAUAUCGCGUAAGAAAUAAAAGUGGAAGAGUUAAACAAACAAAAAAACUCGAUUGUACGAUGAAGACCGUGGAUUUCCCUCGACUGUUACUUGAAUUUGACUGACGGCUUUGAUCGGCGUUCCAUAAGCAUUUUAUAGAGGAGUCGAAGGAAUGUCUUCUUCGAAAGAAAAACCCUUUAAAAGAACGUCAGUAAACCGUUAAUCGACUCCCGUUGGGUGGAUGGAUACAAAAGGAGAUCACCCCGACGAGAAAUAAUCGUUGCAUCAUCGAAUCCUAUAGCGCUUCGAAUCGUGAUUGACCUCGAUCGUCUGUUCAUAGCUCAACGGCUAUUCAAAGCUCAGCACCGAUUCGAAUGCAGAGGCACUGAAUAAACGGUUUGCUUACCUA
RNAcentral lists this long non-coding RNA (2378 nucleotides) under Daphnia magna. RNAcentral's name for it is "uncharacterized LOC123470155". The record is from RNAcentral. Lineage: Eukaryota; Metazoa; Arthropoda; Branchiopoda; Diplostraca; Daphniidae.